UAAGACCUAACACUGCUAGUCCUAGUCCAGU
This 31-nucleotide non-coding RNA is filed under the name Rattus norvegicus (Norway rat). The record is from RNAcentral. Lineage: Eukaryota; Metazoa; Chordata; Mammalia; Rodentia; Muridae.